GAUGAACGCUGGCGGCGUGCCUAAUACAUGCAAGUCGAGCGAACAGACGAGGAGCUUGCUCCUCUGACGUUAGCGGCGGACGGGUGAGUAACACGUGGAUAACCUACCUAUAAGACUGGGAUAACUUCGGGAAACCGGAGCUAAUACCGGAUAAUAUAUUGAACCGCAUGGUUCAAUAGUGAAAGACGGUUUUGCUGUCACUUAUAGAUGGAUCCGCGCCGCAUUAGCUAGUUGGUAAGGUAACGGCUUACCAAGGCAACGAUGCGUAGCCGACCUGAGAGGGUGAUCGGCCACACGUGAACGUAGGCACGGUCCAGACUCCUAAGGGAGGCAGCAGUAGGGAAUCUUCCGCAAUGGGCGAAAGCUUGACGGAGCAACGCCGCGUGAGUGAUGAAGGUCUUCGGAUCGUAAAACUCUGUUAUUAGGGAAGAACAAAUGUGUAAGUAACUAUGCACGUCUUGACGGUACCUAAUCAGAAAGCCACGGCUAACUACGU
This 496-nucleotide ribosomal RNA is filed under the name uncultured bacterium. RNAcentral describes it as "partial 16S ribosomal RNA". It matches the Rfam family "Bacterial small subunit ribosomal RNA", at positions 28 to 506 of the family's 1533-position model. The record is from RNAcentral.